CCCCUAAAAAAAUUCAGAGUACAAGUGAUAAUUCUACCAGCUCAUGAAAGUUUUACAAUAAAAUCCCUCCAACAUGAUCCACGGCUAUAUACACUCAUGUUCCGGAGUGAUGGCAAACGUACAAUAUAGGAUGGGUAAGAUCCCAACAGUCUGGUAGUUUACAAAUGCCUUCAGAAUAUUAAUAUAUAAGAUGACUCGAUGUAAAAGACCCCACGCAUGCAUGCCUACUGUAACAUGAACUUUGUUGUGCACAAGGUACAAGAUUGAUCAUACAUACGAAAAGAGAAAAAAAACAAUUGCAUACAACACAGUCAAACAUCAUGUUUGGUUCAGAGAUGGGGAGAGGAAAGAGUUGACUUACUUCCCCAUGGAAAGAUGGUUAUCCUUACCCUUUGAUGGGUAUAUACCUACAAAGGAAGUUAAACAUAUCCCCUUAAGUCUUUUGUUCCCUAAUAUGGAGGAGGCUGAUACCAUUCACUUCCUCUUUCUUUCAUAAUCUAGGUAAAAUUAAGUGAAGUAUCACAACACUAACUGCUUUUAACUUACCCUCUAUUGCCAUCCCUUUUCACCUUAAUCAAAGUAGCUUUUGACAAAGAGUUGGAUCUAAUAUUAGUUUCCAGAGAAAAACUAUCAAGACCAAAGAUAUGUAUCACAUAAAUCAAAAUUCGAAAUAUCUUGUAAUUUAACAAAGUUAUGAUAAAAAUUGUUACAACCUAUUAAAAAUUUGAGGUUUAUGUAAGUUAUCCAAUAAAUUAUGCAAAUUUCAAAAACAUACCUAAACUAUAUAGAAAAAAUUGCACAAACAAUAAUUUCAAUGAAAUCUAGGCGAGUAACAACCAACAAAAUAAUAGUGGGCACCCUUUUUGGAUCCUAAACUUGUUUUAACUGCAUAGAUGAGAACACUAGGGUAUAAUAUGAUUCAAUUCUCGGCAUGAAUCACUCCUACUUUCUAUUUCUUCGCUUGAUUAUUAUUCGAAGUAGAGAUUUGUUGAUAUGAUUAUAUUGUUUCUAAUAGUGGUCACCCCUUUUGAAUCUUGCAGUUGCCAACAAUCUUGUUUUAACCGCACAGAUGAGAACACCAGAGUACAACAUGAUUUAAUUCUCGGCAUGAAUCACUCAUACUUCCUAUUUCUUCGCUUAAUUACUAUUCGGAGUAGAAAUUUAUUCAUAUGAUUUUAUUAUUUCUAAUAGUGGUCACCCCUUUUGGAUCCUACAGUUACCAACAAUCUUGUUUUAACCGCACAGAUGAGAACACCAUGGUACAACAUGAUUCAAUUCUCGCACAAAUAAAAAUAAAAAUGUUAAAUGAUUUCUUUUAAUCCGCUGAGUAUUGCUGGAUAGAGGGAAUCAAUUUUUUAGUUUAUAAGUCUUUUUUUCCUUUAAAUACAUAAAACACAUCGCAAACUAUUGUGUUAGACAAACCUCUCUACCCCUGGUCCCUUAUUCUAUUAGCUAAACCAAAAUCAACAGCUCUACACUUGCUAUAAACUCAUUCGGAUUUGAUGCAUCUUGGAAAUUCUUAUCAAACAAAAAAAUCCUAACCAACUAAUCAACAGAUAUUAAAGUACCAAAAAAAAUACCACAUAUUCACAAAAAACUGCAUCAAUUGACAUGCACCAACUCUUUGGAUUUUUCCUUAUUUUUUUCUUUCUGGAAGGGCUUUUAUCUGAAUUUUUGGUGUAAUGCAUUGGAAGAAAAUUUUUGUCGUUAUCUUCAAAACUGAUACAAAGACCUGAUUUUUUUAAAUUUAUUUUCAGCAAAGAAAAGAUAAAAUUCAUUACAUGUAUGUAAAAAACAAAAAGAAUAAAACUAUUUUUUUUAAUGUUUUUUGCGAGUUUUUGUUAUUUUGCUUCUAAUGGUUCAAUUAGUAAAAAUCCCCCAUCUUUUAAGUGCUAAAGUAGAGACCCCAAAUAUAAAUUAACCAAAUCAAUUAAAGUGUCAUUAAAGAAAAAUUAAAAUUAAAAAAGUUAAAGCAAAAACACGAAGAAAUUGAUGCAAAAUUAUAUACACCCAUUUUCCCCCAAUUAAGACAAUCAAAUCAAGAAAACCCAGCAAAUAGUAGCUUGGAAAUGCAAAAUCGGAUAUCAAAAACACAAAACCCUCAUACUAAAUUGCUAGGCGCAGUUCUACUGAAAUAGAAAACACAAAAUUCGCAUACCUUUAUUAGUUGAAUGGUUGUAGUUGAAAGAAGAGCAAGCCAAACAAAGAAAGUGUAGAAUAUGAAAGAAAUAAUAAUAUGUGGAAGCACAUAUUUAUAAUCUGUGUAGAAUAACAGAAAAUGAUAGGAGGAUUCAUCUUCAGUGUAGAAGUAUUGGAAGGAAGAAGAAGAGGAAACAACUUUGGAGUCUCCAUCGCUUUACACAUCAGACCUUAACACGUCGUGAAGCCCAACAGCAGUAAAGUGGCACUCAUUGAGGUAGUAUGAAAAGACUAAAAUUCCCUUAGUGAGUGAAAUAGGCAUGUUGAAAUUUGCUCACUUCUAAUAUAUAUAUAUAUAUAU
This 2500-nucleotide long non-coding RNA is filed under the name Capsicum annuum. RNAcentral's name for it is "long non-coding RNA (CANN_LNC001450)". Lineage: Eukaryota; Viridiplantae; Streptophyta; Magnoliopsida; Solanales; Solanaceae. The record is from RNAcentral.